AAAGGCUUAACUUUAGGCCUCAACGACCCUAGACCCACGCCGGACAAUCCCUCUAAUCCCUCUCUCUGGGCCAGAAACGGCCUCCUGCUAAGGACAAAGAACUGCGGCCUGGGGGCCAGUUACUACAGGCUGAGCAGGCACCGCGCCGAGGCCCCGCCGCUGGAGCGCGAGGACAGUGGGACCUUCAGUUUGGGGAAGAUGAUAACAGCUAAGCCAGGGAAAACACCGAUUCAGGUAUUACACGAAUACGGCAUGAAGACCAAGAACAUCCCAGUUUAUGAAUGUGAAAGAUCUGAUGUGCAAAUACACGUGCCCACUUUCACCUUCAGAGUAACCGUUGGUGACAUAACCUGCACAGGUGAAGGUACAAGUAAGAAGCUGGCGAAACAUAGAGCUGCAGAGGCUGCCAUAAACAUUUUGAAAGCCAAUGCAAGUAUUUGAUAAAAUGGGAAUUACUAAGCUGUAAUCAGGCCUAAAGUGGCCUGACUUAAUACAGAGACUUUCUCACUUCUCCAUCACAAUUAUUUGGGUAGCUUCGGCAUGCAGCAUU
RNAcentral lists this small RNA (550 nucleotides) under Pongo abelii (Sumatran orangutan). Its description in RNAcentral is "processed transcript". The record is from RNAcentral. Lineage: Eukaryota; Metazoa; Chordata; Mammalia; Primates; Hominidae.